UGGCGGACGGGUGAGUAACGCGUGGGCAACCUGCCCUGUACAGGGGGACAACACUUAGAAAUAGGUGCUAAUACCGCAUAACGGGGGAGCCGCAUGGCACCCCCCUGAAAACUCCGGUGGUACAGGAUGGGCCCGCGUCUGAUUAGCUGGUUGGCAGGGUAACGGCCUACCAAGGCGACGAUCAGUAGCCGGCCUGAGAGGGCGGACGGCCACACUGGGACUGAGACACGGCCCAGACUCCUACGGGAGGCAGCAG
Molecule: ribosomal RNA, 256 nt
Filed under: uncultured bacterium
Lineage: Bacteria
Description: partial 16S ribosomal RNA
Rfam family: Bacterial small subunit ribosomal RNA
Source: RNAcentral